Molecule: ribosomal RNA, 468 nt
Filed under: uncultured bacterium
Lineage: Bacteria
Description: bacterial SSU rRNA
Rfam family: Bacterial small subunit ribosomal RNA
Source: RNAcentral
CUUGCUUCUCUUGAGAGCGGCGGACGGGUGAGUAAUGCCUAGGAAUCUGCCUGGUAGUGGGGGAUAACGUUCGGAAACGGACGCUAAUACCGCAUACGUCCUACGGGAGAAAGCAGGGGACCUUCGGGCCUUGCGCUAUCAGAUGAGCCUAGGUCGGAUUAGCUAGUUGGUGGGGUAAUGGCUCACCAAGGCGACGAUCCGUAACUGGUCUGAGAGGAUGAUCAGUCACACUGGAACUGAGACACGGUCCAGACUCCUACGGGAGGCAGCAGUGGGGAAUAUUGGACAAUGGGCGAAAGCCUGAUCCAGCCAUGCCGCGUGUGUGAAGAAGGUCUUCGGAUUGUAAAGCACUUUAAGUUGGGAGGAAGGGUUGUAGAUUAAUACUCUGCAAUUUUGACGUUACCGACAGAAUAAGCUCCGGCUAUCUCUGUGCCAGCACAUACGGUAAUACAUAGGGUGUAAGGCAUU